This 465-nucleotide ribosomal RNA is filed under the name uncultured bacterium. RNAcentral's name for it is "partial 16S ribosomal RNA". It matches the Rfam family "Bacterial small subunit ribosomal RNA", at positions 338 to 795 of the family's 1533-position model. The record is from RNAcentral.
CCUACGGGUGGCAGCAGUGGGGAAUAUUGCGCAAUGGGCGAAAGCCUGACGCAGCGACGCCGCGUGAGGGAUGAAGGUCUUCGGAUCGUAAACCUCUGUCAGCAGGGAAGAACGGUCACUGUGCUAAUCAGCAGUGAAUUGACGGUACCUGCAAAGGAAGCACCGGCUAACCCCGUGCCAGCAGCCGCGGUAAUACGGAGGGUUCGAGCGUUUAGCGGAAUUACUGGGCGUAAGGCGCUCGUAGGCGGUAUGUCAAGUCAAGGGGGAAAUCCCCGCGCUCAACGUGGGAACUGCCAUUUAAACUGGCAAACUCGAGAGUGUGAGAGGUUAGUGGAAUUCCAGGUGUAGGAGUGAAAUCCGUAGAUAUCUGGAGGAACAUCAGUGGCGAAGGCGAGUAUCUGGCACAUAACUGACGCUGAGGAACGAAAGCGUAGGUAGCAAACAGGAUUAGAUACCCCUGUAGUC